CUCGAGUGGCGAACGGGUGAGUAACACGUGAGUAACCUGCCCUUGACUUUGGGAUAACUUCAGGAAACUGGGGCUAAUACCGGAUAGGAGCUCCUGCUGCAUGGUGGGGGUUGGAAAGUUUCGGCGGUUGGGGAUGGACUCGCGGCUUAUCAGCUUGUUGGUGGGGUAGUGGCUUACCAAGGCUUUGACGGGUAGCCGGCCUGAGAGGGUGACCGGCCACAUUGGGACUGAGAUACGGCCCAGACUCCUACGGGAGGCAGCAG
This 263-nucleotide ribosomal RNA is filed under the name uncultured Thalassiosira. RNAcentral describes it as "partial Bacterial small subunit ribosomal RNA". It matches the Rfam family "Bacterial small subunit ribosomal RNA", at positions 90 to 354 of the family's 1533-position model. The record is from RNAcentral. Lineage: Eukaryota; Bacillariophyta; Thalassiosirophyceae; Thalassiosirales; Thalassiosiraceae.